GCGGUGCUGCAGGGUGCGUGAGAAUCAGCAUUCCCGGGGCCUUAAUGAUCCCAAGGGAGUUGUCCCUGCCCUCGUUCGUGGACCUGGGCACACGACGCCCACCUACGUUGUAGGUUCCCGGGAUCAGAAUCCCACGGCCCAGGUGGCUCCGCA
Molecule: non-coding RNA, 153 nt
Filed under: Beijerinckiaceae bacterium
Lineage: Bacteria; Pseudomonadati; Pseudomonadota; Alphaproteobacteria; Hyphomicrobiales; Beijerinckiaceae
Description: 6S RNA
Rfam family: 6S / SsrS RNA
About the family: E. coli 6S RNA was the first non coding RNA to be sequenced, but its function was unknown until recently.
Source: RNAcentral